This is a small nuclear RNA of Marmota monax (woodchuck), 104 nucleotides long. NCBI's taxonomy places the organism in Eukaryota, Metazoa, Chordata, Mammalia, Rodentia, Sciuridae. The record is from RefSeq and is a predicted model, not a curated record.
GUGCUCACUUUGGCAGCACAUAUACUAACACUGGAAUGAUACAGAGAAGAUUAACAUGGCCCCUGUACAAGGAUGACACAAAAAUCUGUGAAGCAUUCAUUUUU